GACGAACGCUGGCGGCGUGCUUAACACAUGCAAGUCGAACGAAGAGCGAUGGAAGCUUGCUUCUAUCAAUCUUAGUGGCGAACGGGUGAGUAACGCGUAAUCAACCUGCCCUUCAGAGGGGGACAACAGUUGGAAACGACUGCUAAUACCGCAUACGAUCUAAUCUCGGCAUCGAGGAAAGAUGAAAGGUGGCCUCUAUUUAUAAGCUAUCACUGAAGGAGGGGAUUGCGUCUGAUUAGCUAGUUGGAGGGGUAACGGCCCACCAAGGCGAUGAUCAGUAGCCGGUCUGAGAGGAUGAACGGCCACAUUGGGACUGAGACACGGCCCAGACUCCUACGGGAGGCAGCAGUGGGGAAUCUUCCGCAAUGGACGAAAGUCUGACGGAGCAACGCCGCGUGAGUGAUGACGGCCUUCGGGUUGUAAAGCUCUGUUAAUCGGGACGAAAGGCCUUCCUGCGAACAGUUAGAAGGAUUGACGGUACCGGAAUAGAAAGCCACGGCUAACUACGUG
RNAcentral lists this ribosomal RNA (510 nucleotides) under uncultured bacterium. RNAcentral describes it as "partial 16S ribosomal RNA". It matches the Rfam family "Bacterial small subunit ribosomal RNA", at positions 28 to 507 of the family's 1533-position model. The record is from RNAcentral.